CUACGGGCUGCUCCAGUGGGGAAUAUUGCACAAUGGAGGAAACUCUGAUGCAGCAACGCCGCGUGGAGGAUGACACUUUUCGGAGCGUAAACUCCUUUUAUAUAGGAAGAAGAUGACGGUACUAUAUGAAUAAGCGCCGGCUAACUCCGUGCCAGCAGCCGCGGUAAUACGGAGGGCGCAAGCGUUACUCGGAAUCACUGGGCGUAAAGAGCGUGUAGGCGGAUUAAAAAGUCAGAAGUGAAAUCCUAUAGCUUAACUAUAGAACUGCUUCUGAAACUCUUAAUCUAGAAUAUGGGAGAGGUAGAUGGAAUUUCUGGUGUAGGGGUAAUAUCCGUAGAGAUCAGAAGGAAUACCGAUUGCGAAGGCGAUCUACUAGAACAUUAUUGACGCUGAGACGCGAAAGCGUGGGGAGCAAACAGGAUUAGAUACCCCAGUAGUC
This 439-nucleotide ribosomal RNA is filed under the name uncultured bacterium. RNAcentral's name for it is "partial 16S ribosomal RNA". It matches the Rfam family "Bacterial small subunit ribosomal RNA", at positions 339 to 795 of the family's 1533-position model. The record is from RNAcentral.